RNAcentral lists this long non-coding RNA (1813 nucleotides) under Mytilus galloprovincialis (Mediterranean mussel). Lineage: Eukaryota; Metazoa; Mollusca; Bivalvia; Mytilida; Mytilidae. The record is from RNAcentral.
GUAACUGUAAAUUUAGGAAAAGGGGAGGGUUGAAGACCUUCACCUGCUGAUCAAUUCUGACAGGCUUCUAAUUGCGUUGAGAUACAAGCAAAACUACAUAAAAGUAAACUUUGACCAUUCAACUUGUAAAUGAGCAGUCAAGAGAACCAGAUCGGCAUCAAGUACAAACAUUUCAUAUACCAAAUAUAAUUAAACUACUGCUUUUUAAGUAUCGAAAUUAAGAGGACUGUGCAAACUUAUCCUAAUUAUUCACUGAUGAAAUGAGGUAGAUGUAAGAUGCCUGUAAUUAGAUGACCUAAAGUUGUUGCAUUUGGUCUUUUAAGUAGAGUUGUCUCAUUGGUAAGGCCAAAUAAAAAUAUAUAUGUGGUUCCAGUUACAUCCUUUUAAAAAAUAGGGUUGGUAGGUCACAAAUUUUAUUUUUUUUUCUAAAUUUUUAUUUUGGACAGUCAAAAUCCAGAAAAUUGAGUUUGCCGAAAUUGAAGUAUUAUACACGCCCUAACCGGAAGAUCGCCAUUUUACAUGUGUGUUGGUUGUAAAGUAAAAAGUCAUGUUACGUUUUUUGUUAGUUUCAUUGCAUUGUUAUGAACUGUUUCAUUUAAGCCAUAACAGAUACUUCUGAGUGAAAUUCAGAUGACAGAAAUCUAUGAAUUUAAUUAUCAAAUUCUUAAAAUUUGACCGUUUGAAAUGAAAAAAAAAGUUCUAGGUUCAUGGGGUUUAAACUAGGGUUGGGUGGGUGACUGGAACCACACAUAUAUUGACUUUGUUAUUUGGCCUCAUCAUACCACAUCUUCGUAUUUGUAUAUAUAUAAAUCACUUUAACUGACAAGGAUCCAAUCCUAUCAACCAGGUCUAGUACAUAUCAUACAUGUAUUACUCAUAAAAUGUGAGAACUUCACACUUGUUUCCCUAAACAUGAAAAACAAUCACCAAACCAUGAAAAAGAGGCCAAAAACAUUGGAUAGCUGCAGGAAACUGACAUAAUGCAUUCGUACACAAGUAAUGAAGCAUAAAGAUAACAUCCACUGAUAAAAUGUAUACAAAUAGUUUACACUGGAGCCACCGGAUUGUAAUCUCACAAUAUCAUCACAAUUAAUUUCAGGUAUUUUUCUUCCAAGUGAGUCAAAAAUAUAAUAACUAUUCCUGAAGAACAAUUCAGCAUAAUUGUUAUUUUUGAUUUAAUAAAUUUGUUGUCCAUGUCUGUCAAUUUCAAAUAGUUUUUAAAGGCUUGUAUCUAUACAGAAAUUAAACGUACUGUUUUUUUUUUUUUUUUUUUUUUUUUUUUUAUUAAAACAGAAAUACCCUAAAAAUUAAUAUAAUACUGUGUAUUCAGAACUUAUGUGAAGUUUUUAUUGAAUUUUGUAAAUUAUAUAACUGGAUGAAUUUAGUUGUAACAAAAAUGUGUCCAAAGUACACAGAUGCCCCAUCCGCACUAUCAUUUUCUAUGUUCAAUGGGCUGUAAAAAUGUGGAAAAAUCUCUAAUUUGGCAUUAAAAUUAGAAAGGUCAGAUCAUAGGGAACAUGUGUACUAAGUUUCAAGUACAAUGUAGAUUGGACUUCAACUUCAUCAAAAACUAACUCUACCAAAAACUUUAACCUAAAGCAGGACAGACAGACGGAAUAAUGAACGGACAAACAGACCAGAAAACAUAAUGCCCAUAAAUGGGGCAUGAUAAAAAUAGCAUUCUGAUAUCAUGAUAGCUGUUACAUAUUUAUUAUUGUAUACAUGUAUCUCGAUGCAGAUUCUCCUUAAAAUGCAACAAUAAAUCUCACAUUUUAGUCCAUUUAAAAAAUGUUAAAUAAGUGAUAAAUUCACC